GACGAACGCUGGCGGCGUGGAUUAGGCAUGCAAGUCGAACGGUAUCAUCCUUUCGGGGGUGAGAGAGUGGCGAACUGGUGAGUAACACGUAGGUUAUCUACCCUCAAGACGGGGACAACCCAGGGAAACUUGGGCUAAUACCGGAUGUGAGCAACUUUUAGUUGUUUGAAAGGUGGCGUAAGCUGUCGCUUGGGGAUGAGCCUGCGUCCUAUUAGUUAGUUGGUGAGGUAACGGCUCACCUAGGCAAUGAUAGGUAGGCGGCCUUAACGGGUGGUCGCCCACACUGGGAUUGAGAUACGGCCCAGACUCCUACGGGAGGCAGCAGUCGAGAAUAGUCUACAAUGGUCGGAAGACUGAUAGUGCGACGCCGCGUGAACGAUGAAUCCCUUCGGGGUGUAAAGUUCUUUUAUAUGUGAGCAGUGCUUCUUAUAUUAACAGUAUGGGGAGAGAGAUAUUAGCAUAUAGAAUAAGACGAACGGCUAACUCCGUCCAGCAGCCGACGGUAACUCGU
Molecule: ribosomal RNA, 511 nt
Filed under: uncultured bacterium
Lineage: Bacteria
Description: bacterial SSU rRNA
Rfam family: Bacterial small subunit ribosomal RNA
Source: RNAcentral